GUGAUUUACCUAAGAGGGGAUAAAAAGAUGAAAAGUAGAGUUUUCGUGUGAAUUUCGUUGAUCCGGGGCGAAGCCGAGUUCAAUAUACACACGAAAAUAAGACUUUUCAUUUUUUAUCCCGAGUUAUGUAAUGUAUUUUACAUGCUAAGGGCGUCGAAAGUAGUGCUUGAAACAUGAAAAGUACGGUUUUCGACGCAUGUAGCG
Bradysia coprophila is the source of this 204-nucleotide long non-coding RNA. The record is from RefSeq and is a predicted model, not a curated record. NCBI's taxonomy places the organism in Eukaryota, Metazoa, Arthropoda, Insecta, Diptera, Sciaridae.